CGCGCACACACUGUCACAGGGACCCUCGGGUCUGUCUCCCUGGACCGCAAAGUCGGCGCCUCACAGGCCCAGAAGUCGAAAAUGAGAAACCUGGGUGAAACACAGGUUAAGUGAACUCGCAGCCCUGGGAGGAAUAUCACGUGACUCACCUCUAAGGUCAACGUUCCUGCCAGACCACUAGCCUGGUGUGAGCGUCUACAACCCGAGUCUUAAGCCACACACAGCGCGAACAUACUAGAAGCACGGACCUCUUAAUCUUCCAGUGCGCCUCACCUUUGCGUCUCAUGCAGCCUUAUGAACGGACGAGCCAUUCUCGCGCGACUUGUACCAAAUUCUCAGGAAAGGAAAACUUUCGCGAGACUUGGAACUUGCGGCUCUUUUUGCAAUAGAGAGCCGCGUGGUGGCAAGCGCAGCCCUUUGGGUAAGCGGUGCUCAGCCGCUAAGUCAUGUCCCACUCUUUACGACUCCCAUGGACUGUAACCCACCAGGCUCCUCUGUCCAUGGGACUCCCCAGGCAAAACUACUGGAAUGGGUUGCCAUUUCCUCCUCCAGGGGAUCUUCCAGACCCAGGGAUUGAACCCUCGUCUCUUAUGUCUCCUGCAUUGGCAGACAGGUUCUUUACCACUAACGCCACCUGGGAAGCCCUUGGGAAAUGGCUCUUUGUCCAAGGAGAAACACUUUCCUUCCCAUGUCUGUUAAUGGAAGAUCUUGCCGUCAGCUUGGAAACCGCCAAGCAGGUGGUGAUUUGUGGAGGGCAAGAGUUGGACUGUGAAGAAAGCUGAUCGCCGAAGAAUUGAUGCUUUUGAACUGUGGUGUUGGAGCAGACUCUUGAGAGUCCCUUGGACUGCAAGGAGAUCCAGCCAGUCCAUUCUGAAGGAGAUCAGCCCUGGGAUUUCUUUGGAGGAAAUGAUGCUGAAGCUGAAACUCCAGUACUUUGGCCACCUCAUGCGAAGAGUUGACUCAUUGGAAAAGACUCUGAUCCUGGGAGGGAUAGGGGGCAGGAGGAGAAGGGGAUGACAGAGGAUGAGAUGGCUGGAUGGCAUCACUGACUCUAUGGACGUGAGUCUGGGUGAACUCCGGGAGUUGGUGAUGGACGGGAAGGCCUGGCGUGCUGUGAUUCAUGGGGUCACAAAGAGUCGGACACGACUGAGCGACUGAACUGAACUGAACUGAGUGUCUGAAUAAUAUUCCACGUUUUCUUUAUUCAUUCAUUUCUUGCGUACUUUAGGUUUUAUCCAUGUCUUGGCUAUUGUAAAUAAUGCUGCAAUAAACAUAGG
This is a long non-coding RNA of Bos taurus (domestic cattle), 1277 nucleotides long. NCBI's taxonomy places the organism in Eukaryota, Metazoa, Chordata, Mammalia, Artiodactyla, Bovidae. The record is from Ensembl.